Molecule: long non-coding RNA, 602 nt
Organism: Solanum pennellii
Lineage: Eukaryota; Viridiplantae; Streptophyta; Magnoliopsida; Solanales; Solanaceae
Exons: 2
Source: RefSeq, a predicted model, not a curated record
AUUUCAUGAACCCCUUCCAAGUUGGAAAUAAGAGGGUUUUUUUUUUGUGUGCGCUUUGCAACAUUUUAGUCAUCUUCUCCAUUUCAAUCCCAACUAUCAAAGGCAAACGCCGGGAAAUGGGAGCAGCAAGCAAGGCAGGGGACUUGUUAUUUAAGGCCUUCGUUGGAGGGCUCGGCGUCACCACCAUUUACCUCACGGCCACAUUUUCCGUCAACGUCUACCGUGGUCUCUCUUGGCAUAAAGCACAAUCGAAAAAUGAGAAAGAAGGAUCUGUAGUUCAGCAGGAAGAAUGACCUGUCUUCAAGUCCUACCCUUGAGGUGUCCUUCCAGAAAUUUCGGAGUAUAUCUGAAUCUUGUCGCAUUAUGUAAUGACUUUUUCACAGUUUUUCCGUAGGAUAUUUAAAACACAGCAGCACUUCAUAAUCUUCUCCAUCCAACAAACAAAUUGGAUGGACAAAGUAUGUCAUGUUUAUUCAAAUUCCAUUGCUAUAUUGUUGCUGAAAUUCUCCACAACGAUAUUUGGAGUUCCACAGUUGUAUGAUUAAUUCUAUUUACAAGUAACAUACAUAGAUAGCAUGGCAAUGAAUAUUCCUUUUUGAGUA